RNA transcript from Acinonyx jubatus (cheetah), 24442 nucleotides. It is a transcript of the gene named glutaredoxin and cysteine rich domain containing 1, with no coding region annotated. NCBI's taxonomy places the organism in Eukaryota, Metazoa, Chordata, Mammalia, Carnivora, Felidae. The record is from RefSeq and is a predicted model, not a curated record. The transcript has 4 exons.
UUGCCCCAUUGAUUCUGAUGUUUGCUGUCGGUUUUUCUUCUUCAGGUUAUACUUAAGUUAAAUUUUCUUCCAGUAAACUCCCUUUGUGCUUAAGCAUUAGAUGCAGGAAGUUUUUAUUAGACUUAAAAAUGACUUACUCUGUCUUUAUACCUUCUGGGUCCAGGAGGGGUUAAAAGAUGAGUUUUUCUCUCACGAGGCUUUCAGAGAUUCUAUCACAUAUUUGGGAACUUCUCACUUGUAGUUAUCUUGUAAUAAGUGAUGCAUUUUCUUCUAGUUCAUCACUCAGUCUCUCCUCAGUUACUAGGAAUCCAGCAGGGUAUAUAUAAGUCCCAUUGCCCUUCCCAGUGGGUCCUGUUGGAUAGGACAUAAUACAAACCUUCAUACGUUCUCCUUUUUAUGCAUGAUCCAUAAUUGGGACACUGGAAUCUUUCAUGUACUCUUUGACCUGAUAAACUCUCGAGUGUAGGUAGACCUCACAGUCUGGAUUCAUUCAUCAGCAGGUAAAUGCCUUUCCUCUGGAUGUUUAAAUUCAUCCGAUGAGAGUCAGAUUCCAAUCUACUGAGUUUUCCAAACUUCACAUUCACAUAUUAAGCUCAUAUCAAGUAGUAACGUUGAAGCUCCUUUAACUAGUUUGCAGGUGACAGUGGGUACAACAGACCCACUUUUUUCAUAAUUUUAUUUUUAUCACCUAGAUUAUAAAUUUCUAGUCUUAAAGUCUAGGAGAGCCAGAGUUAGAAAGUAAUACACGUGCUCUGUGUUUUGCCCAGAGAAGAGUUGAACCCACCAGGCUUCCUACUAUUAUGUUUACCAAUUAAGAUUUUGAAUUCUCUGCGGGUGUUUUUAUUUUUGUUUUUUUCCUCAACUUAAUGUUUUUUGAAUCCAUGUAUUAUAUAUCAUUUCUAGAAAUAUUUCCUGCUAUAGUAAAAUGCUGAUUUGUGACCUUGUUUUGGAAUAUUUUUUUAAUUGGACUUUUGUGGAAAUCACCUGAAUAAUGAUUAAUAAUAAGCAGAAUAAAUUUUAUGUGAAAGUUAUUUCAGAAGUCAUUUAUUUUAGUUCUGUGUGACUGCUGUUGCAAUUUUCUGGGCAUACUAACCAACUAAUUUGAAAGUUAAGCUCUUUGUGUGAUUGCAUGUUUCUUGCCUUUAGAGUAAUGAAGAUUUUGGAAAGACAUCAUCAAAGCAGAAAUAGGAAGCUUAUUGACUCUUGAAUAUUUAGUGUUUUAUUACAUUUACCAUAAAUUCUGGUUUCCUAAGUUAAGUAACAUGAAACGCAUCCAGCUGUAACAGAGUUUGUGUUACCUGCAGAUUUCAAUUUAACAAUUUUCUUUCAAGCUUCAGAUUUGAUGGAAAUCUAUCAAGUUUCCCAAGGCAUGUCUAGCAGAGUGAGGUUGUACAUAAGUGUUUUUGCUUGAGUUCCUAGGAGCAGAGCAUGGGACAGGAAUUCUUGUUCAGGUGGUAUAUCAAAAGAGCACUUGAAGUGAAAUGAGGACAAUAGGAUGAAACAGGAAAAAAAGACAAAUAAGAAGCUGAGCCAGAAUGUGGGCUUAGCUGGAGGCUAGCUUGUUUAAUCCCAUAGGAAGCUUCAAAGUUCUCCCACAACAAAGUUUCUCCUACAUCAUGGAACUCAGUCAUUGGCAGUGGUCUUCCCUUGGAUGGGUAGGUGAUUAUAGCCUAUUAGGCAAGGCUGUUCCUGUUCUUGUGAGGGCAAGUUUCCAAAGACAGGAGUAGCUGUGAGUUAUCAACUAAUACAGUUGUGAGGGAAAAGUUCCCUCCCCUGUUUACAUGAUGAUGGCUGUUUACCAGCAGGAUUCUUUAUAGUCCAUCCUUUGAGCUCAGAUACCCAGAGGUCAUGGCACAGCCUCUUCAGAAUUCUGAUUGGAAAACCUUACAAGGGGGUUACUGGGAGGAGCUCUAGCUGCUGCUGCUGUAGUUUGUCCUGAGAUCACAACUAAUAUGCAUCACUUCCUGCCUCCACUGCCAAUUCUAAAUUCCUCUCCCCAGUGAUUAGCGCUUCUGCCAAUCUGUGCAGUUUGCCUGGUGGAAUGCCCCAGGCCUCAUCCUUAUUCUGAAGGGUGUGAGCCUUUUGGUCACUCUGCCUUUACCAGGUCAUGGUUUCUGUGCUUUCCCAUGUACAAUUAUAGCUGGGAAUGAAGGUUACAUGGCUUACCUGAGUGCUCAGCAUAUUCUUCCUUGCCCCUAAUCUGUCACAGAAGUUAUGGUUCCUCCUGAUUGUCCUGGUCCAUUAUUGCUGUCAGUGCAGUAAUCCUUUUCUUUGCUUGCUGAUCUCCUGGCACGAGGAUCCCAAAGUGAACAGAAAGCAGUGUUAACUCUAAGAUUAGUGGGAUUCUUGCUGGGUCCUUGGAGGAGGGAUUACACAGAACCUAAAAUUGUGGAGACAUUAUGUGUGUUUCCCCAAGUGGGUUUCUGGGGGGUGAGAACGAGUGGGACUGCUUCUUCCUCUAUCCAAUCUUAGCCAGACCAUUUAUUCUACUGUUAUGGACAUAGCACUAUAGAAGGGCUAUUGGAUUAAGAUACUAUGCUGAAUGAUAAAAAGAUAGGGCCCUAUCCUUUCAAGGUGUUCUCUUCAAGCUUCUAUUUUAGCAGCAUAUUUAAAAGUCCAUUUCAAUCUCCUAAUGGGUUGGCAGCUUAGAUGGCACAAUAUGUGGUAGGAACAAUGGAUGCUGUUGACACAAGACCACUGUUGCUGCUCCUUCACUGUACAGUGGGUAUGUAGAUACAUGGUAAUGUUAUUCAGGAUUCCAUGACAGUAAAUUAGACAUGCUCUGAGCCCUAGGUAGUGGUGCUGGCUGGGAGUUGUGACCCCAAAAAGGCAGAGCUGCACCUGGAAUAGUGGGUCAAGCACAGACAGGAUGGAACAUUACUCUUUCCAGGAGAUAAGUGUCUUAUUGGUCUUAUAGAAAGAUAGCACCAUUUGGACACUCACUGUUGUUCUCUACUGCUGGCAAGUUAGAUAUUCAGCAGUGGCAAUAGCGAGAUCAGUAUUGGUGAGAAUUAGCCCGCGCCGAUGGUCCCUGGACCCACAGACCAUGCAAAGGUCCAUUUCUUCCACCAUGGCCAUUCUAGUUCUCGGCUGUUCUAUUCCAGCACCAGAGAAGCUGAAGAUAGAAAGUGGGUGACUGAGUCAUCCUGUUUCUGGCUGUCAAAUGCCUCUUCUGACGUAGAUUCUCUCUAGUGGAUGUUAACAUGUGAUCUAAAGGUCCUCGCUUCAGUUGAACCUUUUUUACAUGUAUCAUUUUCUAAGGGGUUGCUUUAGUUUUAUGAUGAAUAUAUGUAAUUGUGAUAACAAUAUACUGGAAAAAUUUUGCUGUUUUACAUGUAGAAAUCUUACUUCCAUUUAGGUCCCGUAAUCCUCUCCACUUUAAAAAUUUAUUUUCUCUACCCACAUCAAAAACCCCAUCAACUAGUAUUAUAGUUUUUGCCUCAAACAUGAAACAUGAUUAAAAAACUCAGGAGAAGUAUAGUCUAUAUUAUGUUUACUUCCCAACCUUCCUCCCUUUUUUUAAACCUAUUGCAUUGUUAUUUCUUCCUUUCUGAAGUCAUUUACUUUCUGUUUGGAGAAUUCCCUGUCGCCAUUCUCUAUGGGUAGGUCUGCUGCCCUUAGAGAUACACAUUCCUUUAGUUUUACUUCAUCUGAGAAUGUCUUAAUUUGCCUUCAUACCUGAAGGAUAUUUUCGCUAGGUAUAGAAUUUAGGGUUGACGGGUUUUUUUUUCCUUUCAGCACUUGAAAAUGUGCUACUUUAGUGUAAUAUAAACCAGUACUUCUAGGGCUAAAGUUUAAUUAUAUGGCUGUAGCCUAAAUAGCCUAUUUUGAUUGGAAAAAGAAAAGACGGGGUACAAUUUUUGUUCCUUUUCUUAUAUUGCAGAAAGUAUUUCUUUUUGAAGGGAAAUACACAUGAAAACAUUUUUUUGGCUGCUCCCAAUUGCAGUUGAAUACUAGGUAGUUGUUUAUUGCUUUCUUUUUCUUCUGAGACAUGCAGAGAGAAGCAACUGUUCUGAGGGCAAAGAGGAUGAAAACACAAACUAACAGUUUAGUCCAAAUUAGCAGCCUGCUGUGUCCAAAUGAGAGAGAAGAGAGCCAGUUACACAAAAGCAAAAAUCCAUCUUGGGAAGCUCUCUGAGGUGAAGUGUCGGGAGUUUGGACUCAGGCAUGCCUAGCAUUUAAUCCCAUCUCCACUGUUUACUAGGUGUAUGAACUUUGGUGAGUAAUUUAUCCUCUCUAGGUGUCAAUCCCCCCACAGAUAACAUUGAAAUUAUACUACUUGGCGUCAUUGUGAGAAUUUAAACAACAGCAGGAUCCUAGCAUUCAUUCUCAACUGUCUUUCCAGGGUGUUUCAGUUGUAUUUCUCCUUCUCCUUUUCAUGUAGAGGCAAUGUAAAGAAAGAUUAAGGAAAACCCACUAGAAAGGGUGUCUGGCUCCAGCUUGGGAAACAUGAUGAACUAGCAAAGUUAAGAUUUAUUGUGAAAGGUAUAAUUUGAAUCUUUUAUUUCUUUAAGAGUUGUGAUGUUAUCACUUCCUAAGUUUAUAGAGAGCUACUAUUAUUUAGUUUAUUAGUUUCAUUAUUUUCAUAAAGGAGAAUAUAAAGAAAAGUUUAUUAGUCUGGGUCAAAUCAAGGGAGAGAUAUCUUACAGCAACUUGAACAGGAAAGGUUUUAUAUAAAGAAUUAUUAACUGCAAAAGGACAUUGGAGCAAUUAGGGUUUUGCUAGUAAUAAGCAAAGAGAACAUUAAUGAAUACAGUAUAACAGACAUAAGUGCAGUUACUACCCAGGGCUGAGAUAGAGAGUCCUAAGAAUAGACCCCAUUUUGCCCCUCUCCUCCACAGCUGAGAUCUGAAUCCUGUGGGAAAAAGCACAGCCCUUUUAGUGACUGUCGCAGAAGUCACUGUGAGGGUACCCUGGGGGAAUUUACUGGAAAUCUGUCCUCAGGAACUGACCAGAAUUCUGCUUUCUAGGGCUCCCAGAAAAGUUGUUGAGGAGGUGUAUCAUUUGAAGCAGUGGUACAAAUCUGCCCGAGGGUGGCAAUGACCACUGUACUGCUGGCCACUGUGUAUUUCAGGAGACUGGCUCUGAAGAAGCCAUAUACACUGCAGGAAUCUGGUGCUGGAAGUGGACUACACUAUAGGAACUAGACACUGCAAAUACACUGUGGGAGUCUGCCAAGUGAGUGCAUCAGAACGAGAAAGCAAAACCCUUUUGCUCCUGCAGUGUCUCUCCAGCACCGUCUACUGACAAAGUUUGACAUUAUGUGGCAGACAGGGGACAAUAUUUAAGGGGCCCAGAUCCAUUCUCACAGAGCAAGCAAAAAGUAAGAAUUUGAAGCUAAGAGGUAAUAACUUAUGACUGGUACAUAAGGGAUGGAGAAUUUAUGAUUGGAAAUCUGUGUUAGAACUUAGUAAGAGUGAUUGUCUUUAUCUUAUGAAAAGCAUGGUCUUAAUUAUUCAAACCAUGAUACCAAUCCACCAAUGCCUCCUGGUGGUCAUAAUUUGAAAUUGCAUUUCAAAUCUUUGCACCAGUUAGCAGAUCUUUUAUAAUUGAAAUUGUAUAACAUAAGCCAUAGGAUUGUGGCAAACAUAAUACUCUAUACCCAGAGUUCCUAAAUUAUAAAUUACAUUUAAAAACAUAUUUCUGGUUAGAGGCACUUAGACUGCAACAGAUAUUAUUGUAUAAAUUUGAAUACGACUUGAUUUGAUACUGAAAAAUUUAUUUAAUAUUAGGGUCAGGAGUUCAAAUGAUAGCUAAUGUAACUACUCAGAUGAUUCAGGUUUAAGCCUCUCAGGUUGCUUUAAGGUUUGCAAAAUGAGUUAGAUACAUGGGUUCUAGGGUAAGUUCAUGAUCCUACUAAUUGAUUGACUGCUGACAUGUGCAAGGGUCUGCAGGACCAAAGAGUAUUAUUCACGGACUUUCAUUAGAAGUAGAUGCCAUAUAUAAUUUUUUACUGGAUUUUUAUAAAUAUAAUUUUUUACAUGUUUAAUUUACUUUUUCCUUCACUGUGACAUUUAGCAUUUUCUAAAAAUUUAAGUGUAGUUGACACACAAUAUUAUAUUAGUUUCAGGUGCACAGCAUAGUGACUCAACAAUUAUAUACCUAACAAAAUGCUCACCAUAGUAGGUGUAGUUACCAUCUGCCACCAGAAAAAGUAAUUACAAUAUUAUUGAUUAUGUUCUCUAUGCUGUACUUUUUAUCUUUGUGACCUACUUAUUUUAUAACUGGUAGUUGGAACCCCUUAAUACCCUUCACCUUUGACAACACAUUUCUUUAGGAAGUUCUCCUCUCCUUUGUUUUACAUGGCCCUGCUUAUUUUUCUCUUCUGGGCUUGUUUUGUUUUGUUUUGUUUUGUUUUGAAGCACUUAAAGUGUCAGUGUUCCUAAGUUCCAUCUUAGAUGCUCUCUCUUAUUCUGUAUGUUUUUUUCCAGGGUGGCAGUAUAACAUCACACUUAAAAGCAUAGAGCUUCUAGUUAGAGAAAUCUUGAAUAUUAGCUCUGCCAUUUCCUGCUUUGUGAUCUUGGGUAACUUAGUAUCUCUAGGCUCAAUGUCCUCAUCUGUAAAAAUGAGCUAUGCCCUCUUACCUCCUAGAGUUGUUGAGAUUUUGAAAUGAGAUAUAUGUAAAGCCUUUAUCAUAGUGCUUUAGUGCUUGGCACACAGAAAGUGCCAGAUAAACAGUACUUUUGAUUAUUUGUCUACUUCAAAUAAUAUGCUUAUGAUUUCAGAUCUUUAACUAAAGCUUCUCUGUUGGGCUCCAAAUCUCUGUAUAAGGUGGUUUCAAAUGCCAUUUGGGGCCUGUUGUAAAUCAGUGAUGAGGAUUACAUCAGUACAAGAGGAAUUGAAAAAAAUAAGGAUGCUUCAGUUGAGUUUUGAAUUGAAGGCAAGUUAACAAUUAAGUUAACUUAUUGAAUUAACAAUAAAUUGCCUUUUGUAUCAAGAUUCAUGCCUUAAUUUUUGGUGUUGAAAUAUCCUUUUGUAAGAAUGAAAUGUGGAUAUUAGUAGAUGAUAGUUUUUUGUUUUUUAAAGAACACAUGCUGUCUUAUCAAAAGAAAAAAUUGGCAGUCUUAAACUGGUCCCUCAUAUUUAUUUGAAAAUUUUGCUGGUAUGUGAAACCUAAAAACCUAGGAACCUCUGAUCUGUUGGACAGCUUUACCUGAGUAAACUAUGAGUGCCUCAAACUUGACACUAUAAAAAGUAUACUCAUUAUCUCCUUCUUUCCCUUCACACAAAACCCAACUCCUUUUUAUUAUAUACUGUAAAGGAUGUCAUAACUCUCCAUCCCAGUUAAUUGUCAGAAGUGAGUUAUCUUCAAACUGCCCCUGGUCCUGUUACCCUUAAUUAAUUGCUAAUUCCUUCAGUCUGUCUCUUAUUAUUUCUUGAUUCAUACCCAUUGCCACUGUCAUCUUUUUUUGUUGGAAUUGUUUUCUUCUUACCUCCAGACUCCUUUCAUUCUAAUUCAUCCCAUCUGAAACUGCCAGAAUGAUCUUUUACUUUUUGGUCUAAAUUCCCUCAUACCAUCUUCUUUGCGGUUAAACUUUUCAGUAUAGAUAGAAGGUCCCACCUUUCCCAUCUGCUACUCCUCCCUCACAUGGAUCUCUCAUGCCUGCCAUAAUUAACUCUUUACAUCUCAAUUGUUUUGGAAUCUUUGCACAUCCACUUCUACCUGUUAGUGAAUAUCCUCUCCUCAUCUGGAAAAUUCCAAUUAGUCCUUCAAGGUUCCAUUCACGUUUCUACCAACAAGACAGAUGUAUAAAAACUGUAUUUGGUAUGCCGGCAUAUUUUCAUGCCAUUUACUUUCAUUAUUAGAAGGGCGUGGCUGAGGGUACAACUAAGGGAUAGGCAGAAGGAAUAGAAUGCAUGCUGUUAGCACAGCCAUGCAUUCUUAGCCUCUAGCACUGAUCUGCAACCAGGACUGUUUGUAAAUAUGAAAUGUGCCCUUUCCUUUUAGGUACUUAGGUAUGUCUUCUAUGCUGUGUGUAGUAAUAACCAGAAAUAGAAAUUAAAAAAAAAAAGAUUAUCAGAUGAGAUCAGCUAAUGUAACAGCUUGUCUUCUUGAGGAAAAGUUCUAAAAGCUUAAUCAUUGUCCACUAUGUUCUUUUUCUUUUUUUUUUUUUUUAACAUUUAUUCAUUUUUGAAAGACAGAGAGAGACAGAGUGCAAACAGGGGAGGGCUAGAGAGAGAGGGAGACAUAGAAUCCGAAGCAGGCUCCAGGCUCCGAACUGACAGCACAGAGCCUGACACGGGGCUCAAACUCAAGGACCGCGAGAUCAUGACCUGAGCCGAAGUCGGCCACUUAACCGAUUGAGCCACCCAGGUGCCCCAAUGUCCACUAUUUUCUUAAAGAUGGUUCUUGUUGUGAAUUGCACCUCAAGACUCAGAGGGGACCCAGAAGUAUCAUUGCUUAUCCUUAGCUAUGCCUUUCAUCUCAGUCAUGCUAUUCAGAGGAGCAUAUCAGAGAGAAGAAACUCCCUUUCCCACUCAGCGCAGCUGACUUCAGGAAUAGGCUUAUAUUAUCUUAGCCUGAUCAAUGGCUUAAAUUUUUUUGUGAUCCAUCAUAUCAUAUAUGUUCUCGAUAUUUUGAAAGUGCUUUGAUACUGUUUCAGUUAAGAUGAUAGGUCUGCAAUUCAACACCCAACUGAGCAUUUGGGACAUUUUAUUCUCUUACAACCCAUAUGAAAGAGGCAGUACAUCAAGUUCAACAGCUCUGUGAUGUCAUCAGAGACCCAGUUUCUUCCCACCCUUCUGUUCCUCGGUGCAUUUAAUUUUUAUCCCCCUUUUUGCAUCAGGAGGCAAGGUGGCUGCUGAAGUUCUAAGCAUCACUACUAUGACAUGCCAUCAUCCCAAAUAGGGAGGAAUCAAGAUGAGACAUUAAAGUCACGAUUGAUAAGACUAACCAUAAUCCAGUCCUUGGGCCUGGGCACAUUGCUAACCCACACACAAAUGGGUUUUGUCAUCAAGGAAGAAGGGAGAGAAAGGCUAGGGAGUAAGCAACUAACAUUGUCUGCCACGCAUAAUCCUUCCCUUUUAACUGUAUGAAAUAUAACAGUGGGGCAUAAGAGCUCCACCUUGGCGUUUUACUUCUACCAUCCAGACCAAUUUUCUUCUCCCUUGUUUCCCCUUGACUUUCUACAAUUUAACCUUCCCUUCUCCUGGGACGUCACCAUCACCACCCAGUGGAUUUAAGCAAGUCCUACUGUAUAUUUACUACAUAUGUUAGGUUGAACGAUGUGAACUUACCAACAUUAACAUAUUUUUCCAACAAGAAUUUCAGAAUUUUCCCAAAUAAUUUAAGAUUCGUGGACGUAAAUGAUAACUGUGGGGAAGUAAGUACAUAAAAUUUGCCUAAAGCCAACAGAGAAUGUUUUGAAUGAUGAAAAAAAUCAGAUUUGCAACUGAAAUAGUGAUAAUUUACAUUGGACAUCUUCAUUUGGAAAAGGGAAAAAAAAAAUCACCUGCUAAUAACAUUGAGUCCCAUUCCUAGAGACUGACAAUGAUUGAUAAGUCUAUUUUUAUUGCUUAAAUUUGAGUAAGGUAAUCUAGUCGUACCUGCAAAGACAGAAAAGGUAUUAUUUUAUGACUUUCUUGUAUAGUAUGAACUACUAUUUAUCUUAUGCCUUCCUCUCUCCAAGUUGGGUAUAUCACAAUGGCUGCACAAAUAUUGGAGAAGGAGUGCGACUCAAUAGAGAAGAAUUGUCUCUACAGUAGGAUACUAAAAAUUAAAAAAAGAUGAGUGGAAAAAGCCAGCACAGAGGGGAAAGAUAAGAUAAGUGUCUCAAACACUUGAACGUGGAGAAGAUCCAGCACUUUGCAGGGAGCCGUAGCCAGACUUUGUAACAGGAGAGGAAGUCAUCUGGAAAAUGGCGUUUCUCACACACCAGCUGUAAGUCAAUCUCCUGGGUAAGAAUAUCAAGUUAAACAACCUCGUAGGUCUCUCGUGUCUAUGAAUGUAAUAAGAUUCCAGCACUAGAAUCAUUCUUUUGUUCCGUAGUUUCCCACUUGCUGCUCAUAUCCUGCUAAAGUCAUCUCCUUCUCCAAAGUCUUGCCCACCAAGUUCCAUGUGCUUAGUCCCUUAUGUCCCUUUGGUGGAAAAAAUAGAUCAAUAGUAUCAGAAGUCGCCCUGAGGUAUAGCCAAAUAAUAAAGAAAGCUGAACUGUGAUGGUUACAACAUAGGCUAUUUAACAGCUGGACAGGGACUGUAUGAGAGCUUUUGAGGAAUUAAGAAACGAGAAAAAGGAAGAGAACGAAAUACAAAUACACAAAUGACAAAAAGAGAAAUGAAGAUUGUCAGGAAAUAGGGGCAUAAAAACACAUAAGGCAAUAGCAGAGUGAGAAAAAAGAUUUGUGCAAGUUGGAAAAAUGUGGAUUACAGUUCUGGCUUCACCAACUAGUCAUGAAAUUUUGAACAAGCCACUUAAUCUUUACAUUUUAAAAAUGGCUUCAUUGAAAUAUAAUUUACAUUUAGUACCAUGUACCCAUUUAAAGUAUACAGUUUAGGGCUUUAUAGUAUAUUUUCACAAUUGUAUAAUAAUUACCACAAUUUAAUCACAGAGCAUUGUAUUACCCUCCAAAGAAAUCUCAUACCCAUUAGAGAUAUUUUCUCGUCCCCCAACUUUAAAAACCACUAAGCUACUUCUGUCUCUAUAGCUUUGCCUCUUCUGAAUAUUUCAUAUAAAUUUCACUUAUGUAAUGAUUUCAAGGUGCAUCUGUGUUAUAGCAUAUAUCAGUUCUUCAUUUUUAUUGCUGAUUUGCAUUGUCAUACUUUAUAAUUUUCUUUAAAAAAACAAAGCCAUUUUCCUAAUAUUUUAGAUAACCUCUGUAAACCUUUUUUUCUUUUGAGUUAAUUAUCCUUGAAAGAAAAAUAAAUUGUCACCCCUUGUCUGGGAAUGACUAAGAUCAUCAUAAUUCCUUUUAUGAAGCAGAAGUAAAAAUGAGAAACAGAGAAACAUCUGUAUUUUCUGAAAUGUAAAGGAAACUUACGUCAGACCUUGUGACUCCAAGGACACAAUGCCAUCUUUCACCUGUUAGUCAUUAUUAGUUCAUUCAUUCAACAGGUGUUUAGACUUCUACAUGCAAAGAACUAUAUGUCCCUUUAUUGUCCCCUAUGGAGGGAUAUGGAGAUAACUAAGAUAGAAUUAAUUCUUAUUACCCUUAUCAGAACCACCAGACCUGGGAAUAAAAUGUCUUCAUCUAACACCUGCUGAAGUGUGGCAUCACUAGAACCAAAGGGAGAAUGAAGAGAGAGAGAGCCAAAGGGCUGGGAGUCAUAGUUUUCUUCUCAGGUUUUAUGGACAUUGGAGUCCGUUUGCUUAGACACUUACUAAAAAUAUAAAAUCCUUCUGCUUAGUUAAGGCUAUCUUGGGUAGCUUCCUUGUUUUUGUAAUAUAAACCCAUAGGAAAUCUUCAAGUACUGGGUGAGAGCUCCGAGUUGUUUGGGGUUGUGGAAAACUGGAAGAAGUAUGUGGUGGCAGAGAAGAAAGCAGCCAGAGGACACAGUCUCUGAGGUCUUAAUAGGAAAGUUGGUGAUGAGGAAGCUUAUCUUGGGCAAAGAUUUCCUCUGGGUAGGAGGCCUUUGCCUCCACUCACCCACUUUGUGUAAUAUCCUUAUUCAAGGCCCAUAAACAUCAUUAAAUAAAAAUAGCAAAGUUGGUCUUUGGGUUCCUAAGAUCGUUCUUUUAUUUUUUAUACCAUUGAGCCGGUAGUUCUAGACUCUGAUUAAUAUCAGAGUUCAGUGUUUCAAAUUUGAAACAUUGGUAGAGACCCUAUAAAGAGCUCAAAGGAAUAUAUUAAAGAGAAAUAUAGGGCUUGUGAAUAAAAACUUACAAAGAAACAUCAUGCUAUUAUUCGCCAUGAGGAAGAGUUGGAAAUUUAUUUCAUAAAAGUGAAAGAAUGGUUGCUCUUUAUGGGUUUGAACACAGAAUAAUUACAAAUAUAUCUUAAUUACUGAGAAGCUUAAUAUUAAAAGACUAGUUUAACAAUAAAAGGCCUAUCAUUUUUUGGUAAUUUUAUGCCUUUUUCCUAUGAAGCCAAAAUAAUUGACCAGAUUGAUUCAAGUCAUGCAGACAAAAGCUAAUUUAGUGAAAAUAUAUAUAUUCUGAACACACUCCAGUGAAAUUUACCCAAGAAAAGGGAGAGAAAAGGACAUAUCUAAAGAUGCAGAAUAAAAUUACAGUACUGUGAAGAAUGAACACUCUUGUCUAAAAAAAAACUUACUUGUAAUGGACUAUUUCACAGAAAAAAAUUACUUAGAAAAAUUGAGUGAAGUUGCAAUAAAACCCAGAAAAUGUUAAUGGAUCUAUAACAUCUAAAGAAAUUGGAUUUAAAAACCUAGUCCCCCUUCCAUUUAAAAAAGCCAAAGUGAAAACCAAAACAGAAAAAAACAUAUAAAACAGAUUUAGAUAAAUUCAAAAGCAAGUUAUAACACAUCAUCAAGAAACAAAUUAGUUCCAAAGCCAUAUAAAUCCCUUCAGAGAAAAGAACAGGUAACACUUUCCAAAUAAUUUAAUGAGGUUGUAUUAUUAUGAGGUUAAAGCCAAAUAAAAGCGAUUGUCCUUUCUGAAUAGAGAUUCAAAAUUUCUAAACAAAAUUAUUAGCAAACCAAAUCUCACAAUGUAUUGAAAAAUACCUCCUGGAAAAAUUGGACUCUUCCAAGGAAUUCAAAGAAGAUGUAAUUUAAAAGUACAUUGCAAAGUAUGAUACAGCUAUUCAUUUAUUAUUUUUAAAAUUAUUAUCUUCCUGAUAAUUUAGGAGUCCAAUAAGGGCAAAAUUGUGUCUAUUUUGUUCACUGUUUUAUCUCCACUUCCAAACAUAUGUGCUCUUGAUAGGCACUCAAAUAUUUUUUUUUCCUAUUAAAUUGAAUGCCAUGUAGUUGGACAUCAUAGAAAUUUAAUUUCAGAGGUAUUUAUAGAAACCAAAAUGUGUCAGAUGUUUCAAGUCAGUUAAAAAGUGGAAAAUUAUUUAAUCUUUUUAAAAGUAAUGUCCUAAGGAAUCCUUUGCAGUUCUUUUGCAAUAAAGAUGGCAAAAAUACGUAUCUAGUACUCCAUUCGUGGUUAAUAUGGGACUGACCCUUCAUCACUGAGCCACAGAUCCUUCCUCAGAAUCCUUCUCAGUAUGGUUCUAGAGUUACUUAGUGUCAAACAAUUGGAAUUGGCGCAUGCAACACAAAUUGGUAUUUCUAUAUUGUCCCAGGGGGGAAAAAAAAUCACAUUUUUUACUCUAAGAAAAUAUUUAAUUAUACACUGACUGAUGAUACUAGCAUAAAAACAGCCUCAGGAAAGCCUACCUUUUAAUGUAGAUUCAGUGUCUCUACUUUACUUUCCCACUGGAAUGAAUACAGGACCUAAUGGCAAUAAUUUGGGACAGAUUAUCAUUUCAGAUUCAGGCAAAAUCACUUUUGGCUUUUAUUCUUAAAAAAAAAAAACAAAACUAAUGGUUUGGUGAAGAAUUUGGAUUGUAAUUGCAACUUGGUUUUGGCCAAGCCAAACAAAGAUUAUAAAUAUUCAUGUAUCUAGAUUCUAUAUACCAAAAUUAUUAUCCUUAAACCUCUUAACUAAAUUCUGACCAGAAGAAGAAACACAUUUCUCAAUUACUUUUGGAAAAGUCAUAUGUUUAGUGGCCAAGAGGUUCAAGAUAGUUCUAAUAAAUCACAUAAUGGAGACAGUCUUACUUAAAUUGUAGAGAAUUAUCUUGCAAAAUUAAUUUGAGGUUCAGAGGCAAGAUAAUCAGUAUCAUUUUCUAUAACAGUCAGGCAUUUUUAAUUGAGUAUUGCUACUCUAUCCUUAGGGGUCCUUUUUUCAAUUUGAGCAAUCAUAAUGUUAAAGUGCCACUUUCAAUUAGUCUUGCACCAGAGGGUACCAUUUGGCCAUAUAAAUAUCAUCGAAGAGAUCUAAAGAUGCUUUUGCUGUGAGGAUUUAGAUGUUGAACUUCCCUGAUGAAUUUAUCUUUCUGCAUACAAAUCUCACUUCCUCUACAAGCAAAGACUGAAAGGUGUUUUCCAAUUUUAACUUGCUUAUCACUUACAGAUACAAUACUUUUCUUAUUUAAAUUAAAAAAAUGAACUAUCAAAGCUUUUCAUUUUUUUUUUGUAUCUGUGUGUGGAGGGAUAAAGUAUAUUUCCUAACAUUUUUUUCAAGUAGUUGACUUUAAAAAUUUUCUCUCACAGUUAAAUGAAAAGUAAUUAUAAAACUUGCUAAAGACAAUGGCAGCUCUUAGAAAUAUAACCCUAUAAAAAUUAGAAAAAAUUAUGAAACUUCCUGAAAAUAGUUAGAAACAUUGGGCUGACAUAGGAUUUGAGUGAUUCAAUAAAUGUGCAUAAAAUCAUUACAGAAAUACAAAUAGUGCAAAUUACUCAAAAUAUUAGCCCUAUCUUCUAGGCUUUAAUUUUUAUGGACAGAUAUUUUUUAAACAUUUUUUUAAGUUUGUUUAUUUUGAGAGAGAGAGAGAGAGAGAGCGAGCAUGCAGGAGAGGAGCAGAGAGGGAGGGAGAGAAAAUCCCAAGCAGGCUCCACACUAUCAAUGCACAGCCCGACGCGGGGCUCGAACUCACCAACCAUGAGAUCAUGGUCUGAGCUGAAAUCAAGUGUCAGAUGCUUAACUGACUGAACCACCAGGUUCCUUUAUGGACAAAUUUUUAAAAAUUGAGUGGUUAUAUAAAUUUUAAUAAAUAAUAGAAAUUCAGUAUAUCAAAUUAUAAAAUAAAGAGGUUGGUUAUAGUUCUGUGAGGAGUUCAACUUUCAAGUAGGGAUAUCAUAGAGAGACGGUAAAACUUAACUAAAAAUAUCAGUGCUUCUAGGAGGAGCUAAUUCUAUGCCUUGGGAAGAGAUAUUUCAAGAUGAGUCUAGAAACUUUUGUUGUCAGAAAGCAAGUACACUUUGAAAUGUUCUGAUGUGGUGUUGACAGGACUCAGAAGCCAACUUAAAAAGAGCUUUCAUUGGCCAAGCUGUGACAAUUUGAGCAUAAAAAAGGAUAAAAAUUAGACUGAUUAAAACAGCAGAGCCUAGAAGAAGCUGUUUUUCAUAAUUAUGCUUAAAAGAAAAUGGGGCUUUAUUUUCUUUUCAUAAAAAGGGUACUAUAUUCCGGUUAAUUUCUUUAGAGAAAAAUAAUAUUUUUAAAGUUUAAUUAUAUAUACUAAUUAAAUAUUAAUAUAUCUGUAUGUGUAUAAAAUUUUUAGGAUGGGUAAAAUGACAUCCACACACAAAGAGUAAUGGCCACCACCAUCGUUAUUAGUAUUUUAUGGAAUCCACUUGGCACACCAUUCUUGUGUGCUUUUUGAUCUCCCUUCAGGGAUCAUUUGUUCUCUUCUAGAAGUAUAUUAUAAGUGAUCUUAUUUAGGAGGCAUUAAUGAAGGGAUAUGUUUUCAUCUAAUAACUUACUUGUUUUGUCCUCAUUCUUGAAUGAUAAUCUAGUUGAAUAUACAAUUCCAGAUUGGAUUUGAAUAUAUUUUUGAAUACAUUUUCUCAACAUUUUUGCUGGCUUCCAUUGUAAUUGCUGACUUGUUUUUGGCCGAAUUGUCACACUUAGAGAUAUCCUUUCAUCUGUGGAUGCUUUUAAGUUCUAUUUUUUUCUUUAUAUGCGAACAAUGACUGUGUUUUUUGUUUACUUUUAUAUCCUCAGAGCUCAGAAUAGUGUCUGAUAGUACUUGCUCAAUAAAUAAUUUUUGAAUGAAUAACUUAAAAGAAAGUUUUCUGUAGCUUGAAGCUGACCUUUUUUUUAAUUAAAAAAAUUUUUUUUAAACGUUUAUUUAUUUUUGAGACAGAGCGAGACAGAGCAUGAACAGGGGAGGGGCAGAGAGAGAGGGAGACACAGAAUCUGAAACAGGCUCCAGGCUCUGAGCGGUCAGCACAGAGCCCGACGUGGGGCUCGAACUCACGGACCGUGAGAUCAUGACCUGAGCCGAAGUUGGGCACAUAACCGACGGAGCCACCCAGAUGCCCCUGAAGCUGACCUUUGAGUAACAUAAGACAAAGUGCUUGAAGAAUUUAUUAUGGUACCUGGCACAUAAUUACUACUCAAUAAAUGAUAGCUUCCAUUUUCAUUGAGAGAAAAAGAUUAUUAAUCUGUGUAAAGGAAGAGAAGGAGCUAUUUAUUAAUCUAUGAGGUUACAUUCUAGAGAGUAAGCAAUACUCUCUCUCUCUCUCUCUCCAUAUCUUCUCAUUAUAAUUUCAAGUUUAAAUACAAACAUUGAUUUCGUUUCUUAUUUUUUCCCCUUUGGCACCCACCAAAAGUAAGGUUUACAACAAAAAGAUUUACAAAACAAAAAAAGUUACGUCUCCAGUUCUGUUUAAUGGGGCCGCAAAUAUGAAACAAAGAUUGCUUGCUUAAGAGUAGGAUAUGGUCUUUACAAACUGAAGAGAAGGUUGAUUCUGUCAAAAGGCCAUUUUGAUGAAACUUUGUUCAUGGAGUAAAAGCAUUAGACCAACUUUUGAAAUAAAUUGUAAAUGAAAGGGUUAAAAAUAGCGAUUCUCAGGGUAAAGGUGAUAUUACUGUGUCAUGUUGUUAUAGAUAUUUUUUCCUGCAGUGUUUUCAUAAAAGGGUCCUAUUCCAUGUAUACCAAGACUUCUAAACUUCUCUCUGAAUAGCUUCAAAGAAAUGAAUAAAAUUUUUUCUAAUUAUGUUCCAAAUCCAUCAAAUAAUUCCAUUUGAGAUGUCUGAGAUUAUUCUAUGCCCAUAUUUUCAUUGUGCUUAUUUUUUUAGGAUAUGGUUAUUUCUACUUGGACAGAAUUCAUUAUAUUAGAGCAAGUAUUUAAAAUACUUAUAUGAUUCUAAACUCACACAUUCAAUAAAAGUCAUCAUGAAAUUAAUUAUUUGAUCAAAUUAUCUUUAUGUACUUUGCUAAAUGUAUACUUUGCUUAAAUUUAUAAAGCCUACUUUCUGAAAACAUCUUAAAGAUGAUGAAAUUCAGUGUUCUGUGGUUUCCACUUGGGCAUAUUAGACCAGAUUAGGUUACCAGCACUACUAGAAGGACUCUCUAGUGUUUUAUAAGAUGGUCCUUCAGCUUGGAAUUUCAGAGUGAGUGAGAUAUUGAUUUGAGCUUAAAGCAUGCUUAACAUAAUCCCUCAAUAUGCUCAAAAAAUACCUGCUGAAUGAAUAUUUCUCAGCCCUGGAGUAGGGAAAAUGAUAUUUAACAAAUGUGAGUGGUUUUUUUUUUGCAUGUUGCAGGGAAUGUUGAACGUUUUUUUUGGUUCUAUAUACAUGUUCCAAUGUGAUGCAUUUAGAUUACAUUUUGUUUCGUUCGUGAAAAACUGACCAUACCUUGGAGGUUGCAAAUCUAAGUGCCCAGAUCAGUUUAUGGCUUCUCUUUUUCAUCUAGCACAAACAAAAAAGUGUCAAGAGAGUGGAAGAAAGUCCUUUUCCCAAACAUCCAGUGAAUAUAUGUUCUUUUGAAAGUAGAGAGGAAAUUAAACUGUGGCUGAACCAUUUUUCUUUUUUCUUUUUUGAAAGCUGUCUGUUGUUUGAUGUCCAUGAUGAUCAUUUAUAUGACUCCAGAGGCUGCUGGAAUAAUAUACUUACUUAGCAGAGCCUGGAUAUUUCUUAAAAUUGAAAAAGGCAAAGCUCAGAAAAAUAAAUUUUGUUUCUGUAGUCCUUGUUUACAUUUUGUGUUUGGUGAGACUUAAUCUAUAAUGCGUUGCAUUUAGGCAGUGUAAUGGUCGCAUCCUAUGCCAAAUUAAAGAAGAGUGUUUAAGCCUGAAAGAUGCUGUUUUCAUUUACUUAUUGGUAUGCCUAUUUAUACAAAGUUAGGUGAAAAUGAUCUCAUAGUUUCCUAUCAACUCUACAACUCAAUGUACCGAAUGACUCUAUGAUUUUGCCUUAAAUCUAUGGUCCUUAGGAGGAUUUCUAAAUUAUCACUUGAGAAGUAAUUUUUGCAUUUAUUUUUAGAAAGCAGAAGUUAUAUGAAUUUGUAAGUCUAUUAUGGAUUAAUACACCUGUUGGUUGGAGAAGAGAAGUAUGUUUUAAUACUUAAAGUGACCUUGUUAGGAGAUGGUAUAAUUAAUCAGCUCAGUGUAUGGGUGUUGGAUUUCAGGCUGCCCUGGGUUGAAAUCCUGGCAUGGUAUAUCAGUUAACAUCUUUUUAUUGCAAAGAAACAAAUAUUGGCUAAAUUAAGCAAAAAAGCAGUAAACUAAGCAAUAAAUUAAGUAAAUUUAUUGGCAAACUGUUGAGAUAUAACCUAUUUGAAGAUUGGAGAACCAUAUUUUGACAUAAACAGAAGCCAGUAGUUUGGGACAUGUCAGAGAAGCAAGAACUAAAGGAAAUUUCCCUUCUGAUUGAAUGGGACCUCCCCAUUUUUUAAAACUUCUCACUACUUCCUCAAAAGUCAAAGUCCCACAAAAAAAGUGGCUACAUUUUGUCCCUCUUCCAGUGCCAGUCUAGUGGAAAGAUAAAUCUAGCCCUUCAACUUUUAUAAUGGAAGUUGACUAUUUUCUACCUAUGAAGACUGUUCUUAAUGAAUGAGAUACAGUUCCCUAAAGAUAAGUUGGAAUGCUGUGGGAAAGAGUCAGUGAUGCUGGGGACCAAAAAAUGACGUGUGCAUUAUGCUUGGUUACGUACUAGUAAUGUAAUUUUGUCAAGUUACUCAAUCUCUCUUAGCCUCAGUUUCCUUAAGGCUGUCAUAGACUCUAAGUCUAAAGUUCUUUCUUGCCCAGCAAGAAAGCGGGAUGCAGGAUUAAAAUGUGAGAGAUGGCUAAUGUCCGAGAAAAGACAAGAGCCCCAAAUAAGGGUCCUUGCUCCAGUUUUAUUAGGAUCAGGAGGCUUACAAACAUGAUGAUGGACGUGCACAAAGAGACAGUAAAUCUGUGAACAUUAACUCAUGGAUGUGAGGGAAAGGGGGUCUUGAAGAUAUUCGGGGUUAGGGGUUUGGGUAAAUACAAAACAAAAUCCUGGUGCCAGUGGCCAGGAGGAAGGUUAUUUACAGUGGACAUGAGGUACCACGUCUGUUUAUCUUAGCUAGCCUAGACUAGGGGAUGAGAAAGGUAGAGGAAAUAACCUCAGGGUUAACAAGGCACCUUUCUUUUGUUAAUCAGCUCUGCUCUGGGCAGCUUCACCCGCAGUGCAGCUGGUCUAUAGCCCUAUUUACCUGUUUACCUAAUUUGGUCUUUCCUUCCUAUGAAAGCAGCUUUCUGCUAUAGUACUAAAUUGGUGGACGUUUUCACCCUUAAUGCCUAAUCUUGCUUACCUCAUAUACCUUUGUAUUUGGGCCUUUGCCCUCCUCUCUAUUCUGGGGCCUUUGCCCCCUUUCUCUAUUCUGGGAGCCUUUGCCCCCCUCCACUUUAUCCUGGGGGCCUAAUCUUGUUUACCCAAGCUUGAGUGAGAGCACCCUAUGGCUUUGUAAUUCUUUAUGCCUUGUUAACCAUCCGUGCAGGCUCAGGGAAUUCCUAAGCUUGUUCCCCAUGCCUUAUCUCUAAAAUGAUUAUAAUGCCUACCUUACUGGGUUCCUGUGAGUAUAAAAUCAGGUAACACAUAGAAAGUACCAGGUGUGUAGUAUUCACUCAAUACAUAUUGGCUGUUGCUAUCAUUAUUUUAUACUUUCUAUGGUUCUUUCACAUACAUUUGCUUCUUUAAAUCCUCACAGUAUCUCAGCAGGUAAGUGUAAUAGAUUUUAUUGUCUUUAUUCUAUGGAUAGGAUAAGAAGCUUGGACUUAAGAGGCGUUGCCUGAAGCCUAAAGGCUGGCUUUCCAAAUCCUGUAUGUUUUCUUCUACAGAGUGCAGUUCGCUACUACAGUAUCAUUGGUGUGGAAAAAAAGAUGAGGGGACAACACUGAGACAGAGUUUUGUUUUUGUUUUGUUUCUUUUUUCUGAGAAAUAGAUUCUCUGUCAGCAAAGGAAUUGUAUGUUCACUGCUUGGCUACAGGUCAGUUUGGCUGUUGUAUAUAUUUCCUAGAAGCAGGUGUUCUGAGAGUGAAAUCCUGAUGCACAUUCACAGGAUUGUAUUCGCGUGGCACUUCCAUGCUGUGAUCUUGCGGCUUCAUGACAAACACAUCCAGGUUUGUAAACCUAUGUACAGCUGUUCGCCUGUUAACAAAAUGUGAGAACAGAGAAGUACCUGUCACACACCAUGGAAUUUUCCAAAGCAGUUCAGGGCUAUGUGUGCUGGCUGAUCUGCAUUUGUCUUCCCUUUCAGCUUGACACCUGGACACCUGCGUGGAGGAGUGGGCCAGGGUGUUUGAUAACGAGCAUAGAUUUUUGGCCUGAUAGUUUUACUAUCCCUGCAAGGCGACAUCUCUGCCAGGGUCAAUACUUCCAGUCUAGGAAGCUGUUUUCAGAAACCAGGAGGAAGCUAACAUUUUUCAGCUUCCUUUCUCUGGGGUCCUUCUUCCUUCACUGCUCUCUGUGGGACAAGAAAGCAGAAGUAUGCUGGUAAUAGUAAAAAAAAAAAAAUCUCAAUUCUCUAAUGCUAAGAAAAUGAGCAGGAAAGGGACCAGAUUUGGGAGAAUGUAUUUAAUUUCUUUUGGGACCUACUGACUGAUUUCUUGAUGGUCUUCCUUAUUUUUCUACAUCACUUUCUUAAAGCACUUGAAGGGAGAUUUUGAAAACCACCCGAGUUGCAAAUUUUCUGCUACGAACUGCUUGGUGUUCAACAUUCUCUUUAUUACUUGCCCUUUGCUGCCUGGCAUUUGAGUUCUUACAGUUUACGUCUGUGCCUCCUGUGAGACUGUGAACUUCAUGAGAACUGGAGACAAUAGCUCAUCCAUUCUUUGCAUCCUUUAUUGCUUCUCAAAGCACCAUCUGUGGACUAGAAGCAUUGGCAUCCCCUGGGGGCUUGUUAGAAAUGUAGAUGAUCCAACCUUGCUCCUGACUUACUGAGUCAGAGCCUCCAUUUUAACAAGGUCCCGGGUGCUUCGUAUGCACAUUAUAAAUUGAGCAACAUUUCUCUUUAGCACUUUUCAUAUAACACAUGUUAAAUAAUAGUAAAGGUAGCAUGCAUGUGAAGCAGGUAAUUAUGUAUCACUUACAGAACCCACUCCUUAACAUUCUGUAGUAACCUCAGAAUCCUAGAAGCCAUGGGCACUUCAUACUUCUGAAUGCAGAUGAAGUUGGCAGCCUCAGAAUCUCCUUGAUCAACUGAAAAAAAGAAAGAAAAUUGAAAUAAACAAUCAGGCAGUGAGCAGGGAUGGAGGAACAGAGUCCUUGUACAUAAAGUUGGGUUUGGUGCUCCGCCAAGGACAGUGCUUGCUGCCUACAGAUAAUUGCUGUGGGGAGCUCCAAGGAGCAGCAGGGGUUCUAAGGUGCUAGCUCCGUUUUCCUCAUCCAGCCUCAACUAGCUCACUCACUUUUCCCUGGUUCAUUUGUUGCUUUUCCUGCUCACACUUAAUUUAGGAACAAAAGUGGUCACCUCAAAAUAGGUACACAAAAAAUAAACACAAAACAAUUUCCACCUGAAACCUCAAAAGCAAAGUUUAAAAACCACUUCACUAAGCCAUAGGUAAUAAUAUCAACAAGGGAUAGAUUGUUAAUGUGUUCCAUGCACAGUAUACAAAUUGGCAUUUAAAAUUUGUAAUUAAACGAUGAUAAGUAAUGACUUAAAAUUUCUUUUUGAUGCUUAUUCAUUUUUGAGAGAGAGGGAGAGAGAGAGCAUGCACACAAGUGGGGGGGGGGCAGAGAGAGAGGGAGACACAGAAUAUGAAGCAGGCUCCAGACUCUGAGCCAUCAGUGCAGAGCCCAACACAGGGCUCAAAUCCAAGAACUUGUGAGAUCAUGACCUGAGUUGAAGUCAGAGGCUUAACUGACUGAGCCACCCACAUGCCCCAGGAGUGACUUUAACAGAAGAUUGCCAGUGGUCCUUUCUCUGCUCUUCAAAUUCUCCCUGACAGAAGCUAACUAUUUUGUUUAGCCGCAGAAUUCAUUUUGGGGGUGAUUAUGAUUGUAUAAAUGCAAAGUGCUAUUCCAAGAAGUGAUUUUAGUUGAGUUUUCUGUUCAAUAUUUAAUGAUUAGAUGCUCGGUGGCAGGGACUGUGGUAAGAGCUGGAUAGAUAAAGAUGAGUAUGACAAUACCUGCUCUCGAGGAACUUUUAGGCUAGUGGGCUGGGCAGACACUUAAAUAGAUCAUUUCAAGAGACUGUUUGGUCAAGGAUGCUCAGGGUGCUUUGGGUUUCAGGAGAGGGGCAUUGUGCUAUUGGAGAAGAAUCAGGAUCAAAACUAUAUAUUUUUAAAAUUUUUAUUUAUUUUUCGAGCAAGAGAGAGAGAGUGCAUGAGCAGGGGAGAGGCAGAGAGAGAGAGAGAGAGAGAGAGAGAGUGAGAGAGAGAGAGAGAAAGAGGAUCUGAAGCGGGCUGUGCACUGACAGCAGGGAGCUCGAACUCCCACAUCAUGAGAUCAUGACCUAAGCCUAAAUCAGAUGCUCAGCCAGCUGUCUUUUGUCAAAAUGUCAAAAUACUCUAUUUUGAAUAGUGAGAAGUAGGUGAAGAAAGGAAUGUUGGAAACACAUUCCAAGAAGAAGUUGCAGUGAGGCUAAAAAUGCUGAUGUAUGAAACAGCAUGGUCUGUUUUGGGAACUUUGCCAAGAUGCAGGAAACCACAGAUGAUGAAGCUGAAGAGAUAAGCUAGGGCAUUAAAUAUGGAAGUCUCUGGAAAGUUUCUGACAAAUUUGCCAUGCUUAUACUUAUCAAUAGUUAAUUAACACCACAAAUUCUAUGUUAGGAAAAAAACCCCAAACAUUUGUUCAAAAGAAAAAUGCCUUCAUUUUCAACUUUAUUGUGAAAGUAUUUGUUCUUUGUCUUUAGGGUAUGUUGAUCUUCCUCAAUGGGGGAAUAUCUUACACAGUUAUGUCUCUUGACAGCGUAUUGAGGGAAGAGACAUGAACACAGUGGGAAAGAAUUAUAAUUCAAUAAGAUAGUAACUAUGUCAGCACUGCAUUUAUUGGGGGCAUUGAAAAGAGCACUCAAUAUUUUGUGUGGACCAUUGUGACUUAGACACGUGUAUAUGACUGUAGUGGUAGAGUGAUCAGCUGACCUCUGGAAAAGCGAAUGAACAUGCAGUCUUUGUUUUUGAAGAAACCACUACUGAUCCAUUGCAGUGUCUAGAAAUUUAAAGCAAUGGUUACCAGGAGAAGGCAUAUUGUUAUUAUUUACAUCAUAAGAGGAGGGAAAAAGUACUUAUAUAUUCCCCAUAUACUCUCUGCUUUCUUCUUGGUAAAGGGAAUGUUUUACAGUAAAAAUUAAACUUCAUGGGGACUAACGUGGUUGUUUUUUCCUGUUGAACUCAUAACAUGUAAACACAUAGUAGGGACACAAGAUUGUUUGUUGAAUGAACAAAUGCGUGAACUAACUCAUUAAUUUGAAGGGGGAUGGACUGCAUUUUUCUUAGCAGUGUCUUAAUUAGCUAGAUUCUAUCAUUGAUAAAGACAACGAAAACUAGAGGGAAUAAUGCCCCUGAGCACAUGGUGGUGAGCGAUGUCCAAAGGUGGGAAAUCCUGUUGGUCAGAGGACACAUCCUCUAUUAGACAUGGUGAGGAAGUGGGGGAGGGGAGCUGCAUAAAAUUUGAAUUGAAAGUAAAAUAGAAAAUUGUCACUGGGAAUUCUAAGAAAUCCUCAGUAAUGUUUAAAAAUAUAUAUAAAAUAAAUUAAUACAAGCUUAUUGAUAAAAUACAAGCAACUUCAAAGACAUAGUAAUAAACCAAAUAGCGAGCUCAUGCUGGAUCCACAUAUACAUGGGACCCUGGAUCCAUUUACUGUGAAGCAAAAAAAAUCUUAGCUUCAGGGCCCCUUAUUUGCUUUAGGAGGGACCCUCCUAAGACAUUCACAUUGUUCUAUGUUUUAGGGAAAUUUGCAAGAGUAAGUUAUUUUUACCAAAUUAGUGAGGAUCACUAGCUUUUGCUACUCUGACUGUCCCCUCAUUGCACUUCCCUUUUUGUCUUUUGGUAUUUGAAUGGCCAUGGAACGUUUUGGAAUUCAGUUAAGAGGAAGUUGAGUUGGGAAUGUGCCAUUUUAACUGCAAUUUGGAAGAUGUAGAAAGGAAAUGAACAAACAAUAUAAUGAAAAAGAAAUUCAAAAAGCUGAGUAAAUGGAGACCGAGUAAAGUGAAGUGAUUGGUCCAGGGGCAUAUGGCUGGUAGGAGGUAGAGGGAGGAUCCCAACCCAGCAACCAUCAACUGACCUAGAAUUUGACCGUGUGGUGAUUUAUACCACUUGCCUUCGUGUUGUACGAACAACCUUUGAAAGAUGUGAACUGGUUAGAAAGAUCUUCCAAAACCAUCGAGUAAAAUUUGAAGAGAAAAACAUAGCUUUGAACGGUGACUAUGGAAAAGAGCUAGAUGAGCGAUGCCGGCAUGUUUCUGAAGCUCCUUCCCUCCCUGUCGUGUUCAUUGAUGGCCAUUACCUUGGGAGAGUGCAGCAUCCACAGGAGUGUCCCUCCUGUGGAGGCUUUGGCUUUCUUCCGUGCUCCGUGUGCCAUGGGAGCAAGAUGUCAGUGUUUCGAAACUGCUUUACAGACUCUUUCAAAGCUUUGAAGUGCACUGCUUGCA